This 144-nucleotide ribosomal RNA is filed under the name uncultured eukaryote. Its description in RNAcentral is "partial 18S ribosomal RNA". It matches the Rfam family "Eukaryotic small subunit ribosomal RNA", at positions 1299 to 1458 of the family's 1831-position model. The record is from RNAcentral.
UGGUGGAGUGAUUUGUCUGGUUAAUUCCGAUAACGAACGAGACUCUAGCCUGCUAAAUAGACGGCGAUCCCUUCGUGGGUCGACCCGAUUUGCUUCUUAGAGGGACAAGUGGCGUUCCUAGCCACGCGAAAUUGAGCAAUAACA